This 200-nucleotide long non-coding RNA is filed under the name Daucus carota (carrot). Its description in RNAcentral is "long non-coding RNA (DCAR_LNC002221)". Lineage: Eukaryota; Viridiplantae; Streptophyta; Magnoliopsida; Apiales; Apiaceae. The record is from RNAcentral.
UAUAUACACAUAUAUGCAACGUAUAUGACCAUCAUCUUCACCCAAAUCGUAAUAAUGGACCUCUUACCACCAUUACCAAACGUUUCUAUGACUUGCCACCAUUGUCUAUCAUCACCAAUAGUCACAUACACUUUCCAUCAUAACUUACAAAAUUAACAACUACUUACCAUUAUCAUACAACUUCUCUUGCGGCUUCCUAC